AGAGUGGGCCGGACGGUAAGGCACCGGAUUGAUAAUCCGGCGUAGGGGGGUGACCUCCUUAACGGGUUCGACUCCCGUACUCUCCG
This 86-nucleotide transfer RNA is filed under the name Burkholderia latens. RNAcentral describes it as "tRNA-Ile". It matches the Rfam family "tRNA". From Rfam's summary of the family: Transfer RNA (tRNA) molecules are approximately 80 nucleotides in length. The record is from RNAcentral. Lineage: Bacteria; Pseudomonadati; Pseudomonadota; Betaproteobacteria; Burkholderiales; Burkholderiaceae.